CGUGUAGGCGGCUUGGUAAGUCAGAUGUGAAAGCCCAGGGCUCAACCCUGGAAGUGCAUUUGAUACUGCCAUGCUUGAGUAUGGGAGAGGAGAGCGGAAUUCCCAGUGUAGAGGUGAAAUUCGUAGAUAUUGGGAGGAACACCCGUGGCGAAGGCGGCUCUCUGGACCAAUACUGACGCUGAGACGCGAAAGCGUGGGGAGCGAACAGGAUUAGAUACCCUGGUAGUCC
Molecule: ribosomal RNA, 229 nt
Filed under: uncultured bacterium
Lineage: Bacteria
Description: partial 16S ribosomal RNA
Rfam family: Bacterial small subunit ribosomal RNA
Source: RNAcentral